This 133-nucleotide ribosomal RNA is filed under the name uncultured bacterium. RNAcentral's name for it is "partial 16S ribosomal RNA". The record is from RNAcentral.
AGUUAGCCGACACUUAUUCCUAGGCUACCGUCCUUUUUCUCGUCACCUAGAAAAGGGCUUUACGAUCCGAAAACCUUCAUCACCCACGCGGCGUCGCUGCGUCAGACUUCCGUCCAUUGCGCAAUAUUCCUUA